Molecule: non-coding RNA, 48 nt
Filed under: Schistosoma mansoni
Lineage: Eukaryota; Metazoa; Platyhelminthes; Trematoda; Strigeidida; Schistosomatidae
Source: RNAcentral
AUCCAGCUGACGAGUCGCAAAUAGGAUUAAUUGGCGUGCGUCCUGGAU